AGAUUUCUCAGUUUGAUGGAUC
RNAcentral lists this non-coding RNA (22 nucleotides) under Arabidopsis thaliana (thale cress). Lineage: Eukaryota; Viridiplantae; Streptophyta; Magnoliopsida; Brassicales; Brassicaceae. The record is from RNAcentral.